AACGCGAAGAACCUUACCUGGGCUAGACAACGGUGGACCGUCCUAGAAAUAGGAUUUUCCCUUCGGGGACUGCCGGUUCAGGUGCUGCAUGGCUGUCGUCAGCUCGUGCCGUGAGGUGUUGGGUUAAGUCCCGCAACGAGCGCAACCCUUGUCCUUAGUUGCCACCAUUCAGUUGGGCACUCUAGGGAGACUGCCGGCGUUAAGCCGGAGGAAGGUGGGGACGACGUCAAGUCAUCAUGGCCCUUAUGUCCAGGGCCACACACGUGCUACAAUGGGCGGUACAAAGGGUCGCAAACCCGCGAGGGGGAGCCAAUCCCAAAAAGCCGCUCUCAGUUCGGAUUGGAGUCUGCAACUCGACUCCAUGAAGUUGGAAUCGCUAGUAAUCGCGGAUCAGCACGCCGCGGUGAAUACGUUCCCGGGCCUUGUACACACCGGUAUCUC
Molecule: ribosomal RNA, 441 nt
Filed under: uncultured bacterium
Lineage: Bacteria
Description: bacterial SSU rRNA
Rfam family: Bacterial small subunit ribosomal RNA
Source: RNAcentral